RNAcentral lists this microRNA (21 nucleotides) under Macrophomina phaseolina MS6. RNAcentral's name for it is "miR164g*". The record is from RNAcentral. Lineage: Eukaryota; Fungi; Ascomycota; Dothideomycetes; Botryosphaeriales; Botryosphaeriaceae.
CCACCUGCUCCCCUUCUCCUC